Molecule: small nucleolar RNA, 212 nt
Organism: Megalops cyprinoides (Indo-Pacific tarpon)
Lineage: Eukaryota; Metazoa; Chordata; Actinopteri; Elopiformes; Megalopidae
Product: small nucleolar RNA SNORD17
Exons: 1
Source: RefSeq, a predicted model, not a curated record
GUGAGAUGAUGAAGGUGUUUAUCCAUUCUCUGAGCGCUGCUGGCCCGCCCUCUCUGCAGCGGUCGCGUCUGUUCUAGACUCGACUGUGUCGGCUGCCUGUCUCCACGCUGUGCUGUAGUGUUUUACUGGAGACACAGCUGCUGAAGGCAGGAGAGCCGCGGAGGGGUGUGAGGGCCUGGCGAUAGCAAAGACGAGCGUAAACCCCUGAUCAC